CAUCGUGACAGGAUGGGGACAUCAGGAUGGGAUGGGGACAUCAGGAUGGGAUGGGGACGUCAUGAUGGUGACAUCGUGAUGGGAUGGGGACAUCGUGAUGGGAUGGGGACAUCGUGGUGGGGACAUCGUGGUGGUGACAUCAUGACAGGAUGGGGACAUCAGGAUGGGAUUAAUGGGGACAUCGUGAUGGGAUGGGGACAUCGUGGUGGGGACAUCGUGGUGGUGACAUCGUGGUGGGGACAACAUGGUGGUGACAUCGUGAUGAGAUGGGGACAUCAGGAUGGGAUGGAUGGGGACAUCGUGGUGGUGACAUCGUGAUGGGAUGAGGACGUCAUGGUGGUGACAUCGUGGUGGGAUGGGGACAUCAUGGUGGGAUGGGGACGUCGUGAUGGGGACG
This 397-nucleotide long non-coding RNA is filed under the name Phasianus colchicus (ring-necked pheasant). Its description in RNAcentral is "lncRNA (ENSPCLG00000016594.1)". The record is from RNAcentral. Lineage: Eukaryota; Metazoa; Chordata; Aves; Galliformes; Phasianidae.